Molecule: ribosomal RNA, 402 nt
Filed under: bacterium
Lineage: Bacteria
Description: partial 16S ribosomal RNA
Rfam family: Bacterial small subunit ribosomal RNA
Source: RNAcentral
UGGGGAAUUUUGCACAAUGGGGGAAACCCUGAUGCAGCGACGCCGCGUGAUUUAGAAGGCCUUCGGGUUGUAAAAAUCUUUUUUACGGGAUGAAAAUGACAGUACCGUAAGAAUAAGGUCCGGCUAAAUACGUGCCAGCAGCCGCGGUAAUACGUAUGGACCGAGCGUUGUCCGGAAUCAUUGGGCGUAAAGGGUACGUAGGCGGCCUAGUAAGUUAGAAGUGAAAUAAUAUAGCUCAACUAUAUAAAGCUUUUAAAACUGAUAGGCUUGAGAGAUGGAAGGGAAAGUGGAAUUCCUAGUGUAGCGGUGAAAUGCGCAGAUAUUAGGAAGGAGACCGGUGGCUAAGGCGACUUUCUGGUCAUCAUCUGACGCUGAGGUACGAAAGCGUGGGUAGCAAACAGG